GAACUUACGACCAUUUACAAACAGUUCAUUGUAGAGUCUUGCAGUUAGUGGAAUAAUUAUUUCUUUCACUAAUGUUUUGUAUCCAUAUAUUUUUCGCGGGAACCGUGUGUAAGUGUGACCGAAAAAAUGCGCGUAUGUAACGUAUUGGACCAGUAAAUAAGCUAUUGUUGAAGUUUCUAAUUUAUUGUCACCUUUUCCGGGACAUGUUAUAUGUUAUAUGCGCUGUGUCAGAGGUAAUCUGUUCUAUAAUUGCACUUCGGGCGAAGGACUACUGUUGAAGUAUUAUACUUUUAACAUUUAAAUAUUAAUUAAAUACUAAUAAGUUAAAUUGUCCAUUAAUUGAAAACAAUAAUUUUAAUUUUACAGACUAGUCAAAUUAUUUACGACUUUGGAUGAUGGUUGUCGUUUUCCUGUUCUGGCAUAGGUGUGCUGUCUGUGUUGAUUCUAAUUAGUGUCACUCCUCCCUCCCAUUACGUGUUUAAAUAUGGAUGUUUAUAAAAAGCCAGAGAUCGACCAAAAAAAAGAUUUAUUUUAAACCUUGUUAUAGAUAAAAUAUAAUUUUUUCCUGAGGAUUCCAGAAUCUUAUGCCAACUGUUAAUUUUUCUUUUAUUUAUUUAUUUUAAAAUUAUUGUAGGUACUUUGAUUACAAAAUCACUUUAUAUUGAACAUUGUAAAAUAUAUGUGGAACUUUUGAGAGUUGGCAGAGUGCUAUAGAGCAGAGGUAGCUUCAUCAAUGGCAAACUUGGGAGCCUGGAAUGUGAAUAAUGAUUUAUUUAUUGUCCAGAUUUGCAGUAUCUGAAUUGACUUCCUUCACUGUACAAGAAACAUGUGUGUACAAAAUAAUUUAACUAUAUAGGGUGUCCCAUGAAGAUUCGAUGAAUGCAAUAACUUUUGUUCUAUUCAAUAUUAUUGAUAUACAUUUUUUUUAAAUAAUUAGUAUGCCUCAGUGCUACAGUUUAUAUAUGAAAAUUUUUUUUAGGGGGACUUAAAAUAAAAAAUUUUAAAUUUUACUAUAAACCAUUUUGUAAAAUAGAUUAUUAGAAAAU
Non-coding RNA from Cinara cedri, 1046 nucleotides. The record is from the annotation of a GenBank genome assembly. Lineage: Eukaryota; Metazoa; Arthropoda; Insecta; Hemiptera; Aphididae.